This 253-nucleotide ribosomal RNA is filed under the name uncultured bacterium. RNAcentral's name for it is "partial 16S ribosomal RNA". It matches the Rfam family "Bacterial small subunit ribosomal RNA", at positions 524 to 776 of the family's 1533-position model. The record is from RNAcentral.
UACAGAGGUCCCAAGCGUUGUUCGGAUUCACUGGGCGUAAAGGGUGCGUAGGUGGCCAGGUAAGUUUGAUGUGAAAGCUCGGAGCUUAACUCCGAAAUGGCAUUGAAUACUAUCUGGCUUGAGGGUCGGAGGGGAGACUGGAAUUCUCGGUGUAGCAGUGAAAUGCGUAGAUAUCGAGAGGAACACCAGUGGCGAAGGCGAGUCUCUGGACGACACCUGACACUGAGGCACGAAGGCCAGGGGAGCAAACGGG